RNAcentral lists this ribosomal RNA (205 nucleotides) under Clostridioides difficile. RNAcentral describes it as "partial 23S ribosomal RNA". It matches the Rfam family "Bacterial large subunit ribosomal RNA", at positions 2710 to 2925 of the family's 2925-position model. The record is from RNAcentral. Lineage: Bacteria; Bacillati; Bacillota; Clostridia; Peptostreptococcales; Peptostreptococcaceae.
UGGUGUACCAGUUGUCCUGCCAAGGGCAUGGCUGGGUAGCUAUGUACGGAAUGGAUAAGCGCUGAAAGCAUCUAAGCGCGAAGCCAACUUCAAGAUAAGAUUGCCCACCGCAAGGGUAAGACCCCAGAAAGACUAUCUGGUUGAUAGGUCGAAGGUGUAAGUGCAGCAAUGUAUUUAGCUUAUCGAUACUAAUAGGUCGAGGACU